UACCUGCAGCUCAAGUGGUAGCCGCUAUUAUUGGGCCUAAAACGUUCGUAGCCGGUUUAAUAAAUGCCUGGGUAAAUCGUAUGGCUCAACUAUACGAAUUCCGGGUAGACUGUUAAACUUGAGACCGGGAGAAGUCGGAGGUACUCCUGGGGUAGAGGUGAAAUUCUGUAAUCCUAGGGGGACCGACCAGUGGCGAAGGCGUCCGACUAGAACGGGUCUGACGGUGAGGGACGAAGCCCUGGGGCGCAAACCGGAUUAGAUACCCGGGUAGUCCAGGGUGUAAACGCUGCUUGCUUGAUGUUAGUCGGGCUCCGAGCCCAAUUAGUGUCGGAGAGAAGUUGUUAAGCAAGCUGCCUGGGAAGUACGGUCGCAAGGCUGAAACUUAAAGGAAUUGGCGGGGGAGCACAGCAACGGGAGGAGCGUGCGGUUU
This 430-nucleotide ribosomal RNA is filed under the name uncultured archaeon. RNAcentral describes it as "bacterial SSU rRNA". It matches the Rfam family "Archaeal small subunit ribosomal RNA", at positions 474 to 903 of the family's 1478-position model. The record is from RNAcentral.